Molecule: unclassified non-coding RNA, 217 nt
Filed under: air metagenome
Description: partial contains small subunit ribosomal RNA, internal transcribed spacer 1, and 5.8S ribosomal RNA
Rfam family: Eukaryotic small subunit ribosomal RNA (bases 1-46)
Source: RNAcentral
AAGUCAUAACAAGGUUUCUGUAGGUGAACCUGCAGAAGGAUCAUUAGUGAAUGCUGGUCGCGGAUUCGUCCCGACCUUUUCUUUUCCUUUUGACACACCUGUGCACCGGUGGCGGCCUUGCAAAAGGCCCUGCCAACAUUUCUAUUACACACAAAAAGUCAUGAACGUAAAAUUAUCAUAACAAAGAUAACUUUUGACAACGGAUCUCUUGGUUCUC